GCCGAAAGGCCUGGAGCGCUGCGUGGCGAGCAGCCGUUAUCUGCGGCUGGCAGCAGGAAGGAGCCCCGGGCACGCCCCGGCCAUUGCCCCAUCGCCGGGGACGGCGGGCCAGGCCCGAGCCCGUUCCCCGCACCCAGCCGCGUGCCCGCGUCCCGGCCGGAGCUCCCCUCAGCAGCGGGGCGCAGCCGCCAUGCAAAGCACUUCCUCUGCCGCGUCCCUCUUGACUCGCAGAAAGUCACUUUUGCUUCCUUAAGAAAAUAUCUCUGCAAAGCCCAGCCCGUGGCCGUGGUUUCCGCUCGCGGAGGGCUCGCUCCGACCCCUUGGCCCCGCAGGUUUGGUAAGUGCCAUUCCCUGGCUGUCACCGCUUCCCCCGGGCAGGCCUUGCUGCGGUCGCAUGCUGCAGUUGGCCCCCAGCACUGGGGAGGGGCUGGCUGUGCCAGCAGCGCUGCCUGCACCCCUGCACCCCUGCACCCCAGGAGCCGCAGGUGGGACCGAGGCACUCGCCCCAGAGGGGGCCAGGCCAGCCCCGGAGAGCAGCAGGACACGCGGCGCUGGGGACGGACGGUUGGUACUAAGAAGUGCCUUUCCUGACGUCGCUGCUGCUUGGGACCGCUUCUAGAGCAGCCGCUGCUUUUGCCUUGCUUGCUGCCAGCUAGACUGCGACGACAGCGCUCCGCCGCUGCCAGCCCCGCGCCCGCCGGGAGGAGGGUCCGGCGCUGCUCCCCCCCCCCCCCCCCCCCCCCCCCCCCCCCCCCCCCCCCCCCCCCCCCCCCCCCCCCCCCCCCCCCCCCCCCCCCCCCCCCCCCCCCCCCCCCCCCCCCCCCCCCCCCCCCCCCCCCCCCCCCCCCCCCCCCCCCCCCCCCCCCCCCCCCAGGAGAAAAAAAAAAAAAAAACAAACCCCAGCCUAAACCCGGUGUCGGUCGUUGCUCUAAACUGCUGCAUCUGUCUAUGCCAAACUAAUCGAUCCCGAUUGCACCGCAGAGCCCGCUGCGAGCCCGCUGCCUGGAGGCACCUGCCCGCCCCCCCCCCCCCCCCCCCCCCCCCCCCCCCCCCCCCCCCCCCCCCCCCCCCCCCCCCCCCCCCCCCCCCCCCCCCCCCCCCCCCCCCCCCCC
RNAcentral lists this long non-coding RNA (1112 nucleotides) under Ficedula albicollis (Collared flycatcher). RNAcentral's name for it is "lncRNA (ENSFALG00000026134.1)". The record is from RNAcentral. Lineage: Eukaryota; Metazoa; Chordata; Aves; Passeriformes; Muscicapidae.